CCUAUGGGCGGCAGCAGUGAGGAAUAUUGGUCAAUGGCCGAGAGGCUGAACCAGCCAAGUCGCGUGAGGGAAGACGGCCCUACGGGUUGUAAACCUCUUUUGUCGGGGAGCAAAGCGAGUCACGUGUGACUCAUUGAGAGUACCCGAAGAAAAAGCAUCGGCUAACUCCGUGCCAGCAGCCGCGGUAAUACGUAGGGGGCAAGCGUUAUCCGGAAUUACUGGGUGUAAAGGGAGCGUAGACGGUGAUGUAAGUCUGGAGUGAAAGGCGGGGGCCCAACCCCCGGACUGCUCUGGAAACUAUGUGACUGGAGUGCAGGAGAGGUGAGCAGAAUUCCUAGUGUAGCGGUGAAAUGCGUAGAUAUUAGGAGGAACACCAGUGGCGAAGGCGGCUCACUGGACUGUAACUGACGUUGAGGCUCGAAAGCGUGGGGAGCAAACAGGAUUAGAUACCCUUGUAGUC
RNAcentral lists this ribosomal RNA (460 nucleotides) under uncultured bacterium. Its description in RNAcentral is "partial 16S ribosomal RNA". It matches the Rfam family "Bacterial small subunit ribosomal RNA", at positions 338 to 795 of the family's 1533-position model. The record is from RNAcentral.